AAGGCUUGAUGCCCUAGAAUCUAAAUCAAAAUGGAUACGUGUUAUCAAUAUUAAGGAAUUGAGCAUUCUCGUCUGGCUGACAAGGCAAAAUACCUCUACGUUUCAGAAGAACGUUAUCAAAAGGUAAGUUCAUUAAAUUCAAUACUUAAAACGUUGAAACCGUUUAGAAAACUGGUGUAAUAUCUUUGCAUAACCUUCGAAUGUGCGGCCACAGCGUACAUUGAAGAUAUUAAAAUUUAUUUGUCACACCCCAAUUUUCGAUGGAUAAAUUUCAAAAACUAAAAACAAAUACUGGAAAUGUAAAUGUCGAUAAAUUCAUCAACCGAGUUAAACAUUUAAUCUCCUUAAUUACAUCAACUUCCAAAAGUCUAGUAAUAAACAACUUCGCUCACAAGAGCUUAAAACAACUACCAUAAAAAUACAAAUAAAUGUAUCUCGUCAAAAACCCAGCCUUAACCCUGUCUUAACCCUGCUGAUCAUCACCUGCAGGUCUAACCCCUACACCAUGAAUUGGUGCACCGGGUUGUAAACAACAAACCCGGUAAGCUAAAAAGCUCGUAUGAGUAACUCCCAAUUAAUAACUCAACAAUCCUAACAUCACAUAUAAUUAAAAUUGAUAAUUCCUGCCUUGAUAACUUAGUUCAGGAAUCACCUAAAAGCAAGAGAAAUCAAGAGAAGCAAUUAAGAAAAACACAAUAAUUCAAAAUCACUCAAAAUCAUAAAUGAAACAAAUAAUUAAAAAGAACGCAACAACUCACAAUCAAGCCAAAUCAAAAUGAAAUCCUGCAAAAAUGCAUAGUUCAGGAAAUACUUAAAAACAAGAAAUUUUAAAAGACAACAUAUAAGAACAUCAAACAAUCAUUUCUCUACUCUUACUUAUGAGUUCGCCAACACUUAGUCAUCCCCCAUAAGUAACCAACAAAUGCGUACUCAUGGGUUCGUCAACACUUAGUCAUCCCCCAUGAAGUACCGACUGACAGACUAGAGCUCUAUACUGACCGUAACCAAUCACCCGGCCAAGGCUUGGUUCCCGGUNNNNN
Molecule: long non-coding RNA, 1040 nt
Filed under: Fragaria vesca (wild strawberry)
Lineage: Eukaryota; Viridiplantae; Streptophyta; Magnoliopsida; Rosales; Rosaceae
Description: long non-coding RNA (FVES_LNC002903)
Source: RNAcentral